UACGUAGGGUGCGAGCGUUGUCCGGAAUUAUUGGGCGUAAAGAGCUCGUAGGCGGUCUGUCGCGUCGAUCGUGAAAACUUGGGGCUUAACCCUGAGCUUGCGGUCGAUACGGGCAUGACUGGAGUGAUGCAGAGGUUUGUGGAAUUCCUGGUGUAGCGGUGAAAUGCGUUGAUAUCAGGAGGAACACCCAUGGCGAAGGCAGCAAACUGGGCAUCAACUGACGCUGAGGCGCGAAAGCGUGGGUAGCAAACAGG
RNAcentral lists this ribosomal RNA (254 nucleotides) under uncultured bacterium. RNAcentral describes it as "partial 16S ribosomal RNA". It matches the Rfam family "Bacterial small subunit ribosomal RNA", at positions 524 to 776 of the family's 1533-position model. The record is from RNAcentral.